GAAUGUGAAGGCGAUCUGGCUGCGACAUCUGUCACCCCAUUGAUCGCCAGGGUUGAUCUGGCUGGCCAGGCCGUGUCCCCUUCUUCUCUCACCGCUUCGGGUGCUUCCCUCCCGAAACUGCGCGCUCAGUCGAAGAGGACGACCUUUCCGGAUAGAGGAGAGGACCGUUCUUCGGUCAAGGGUAUACGAGUAGUUGCGCUUCCCUGCUAGAACCUCCAAACAAACUCUCAAGGUCUAUUUAUAGGAGAACGUAGGGUAGCCAAGCUUCCAAGACUCCAGACACAUCCCAGUGAGGCGCUGCAUGUGGCAGUCUGCACUUUUUG
This 323-nucleotide small nuclear RNA is filed under the name Pteropus alecto (black flying fox). RNAcentral's name for it is "7SK RNA". It matches the Rfam family "7SK RNA". From Rfam's summary of the family: 7SK was discovered as an abundant small nuclear RNA in the mid-70s but a possible function has only recently been suggested. Two independent studies have found that 7SK RNA binds the CDK9/cyclin T complex (known as elongation factor P-TEFb). The record is from Rfam by way of RNAcentral. Lineage: Eukaryota; Metazoa; Chordata; Mammalia; Chiroptera; Pteropodidae.